This 331-nucleotide ribosomal RNA is filed under the name uncultured eukaryote. RNAcentral's name for it is "partial 18S ribosomal RNA". It matches the Rfam family "Eukaryotic small subunit ribosomal RNA", at positions 1470 to 1796 of the family's 1831-position model. The record is from RNAcentral.
CCCUUAGAUGUUCUGGGCCGCACGCGCGCUACACUGACGAAGUCAGCGAGCAUGUCCUACGCCGACAGGUGCGGGGAAUCUUGUCAAACUUCGUCGUGAUGGGGAUUGAUUUUUGAAAUUCUUGAUCAUAAACGAGGAAUUCCUAGUAAGCGCAAGUCAGCAGCUUGCGUUGAUUACGUCCCUGCCCUUUGUACACACCGCCCGUCGCUACUACCGAUUGAAUGGUUUAGUGAGAUCUUCGGAUUGGCGCCACUGCAGCUCAGCAAUGGGCUUGGUGGAUGCCGAAAAGUUGAUCAAACUUGAUCAUUUAGAGGAAAUAAAAGUCGUAACA